GGAGAGCACAUAGGAACUACUGCUUUAUCUGUGGUCUAUUUCUCUCACACAUCACUAAUUUGAGGCUCACCCAAAGUGGGAUAUUUAUCCAUUGACCAUUUGGAUCAGCAUGUUUUUUGGAAAGAGGUCCUUUGCUAAUUUAGUCUAUAUUCCAUGUGGUGAAAUCGAAUUCGACACCACUUUUAAGUGUUUUAAUUAUCUCUUGAAGACACACUUAAUUUGCUUAUCCAUAUUGUGAA
Molecule: long non-coding RNA, 239 nt
Organism: Pseudophryne corroboree (corroboree frog)
Lineage: Eukaryota; Metazoa; Chordata; Amphibia; Anura; Myobatrachidae
Exons: 4
Source: RefSeq, a predicted model, not a curated record